AGGACGAACGCUGGCGGCGUGCUUAACACAUGCAAGUCGAACGGAAAGGCCCUUCGGGGUACUCGAGUGGCGAACGGGUGAGUAACACGUGGGUGAUCUGCCCCGCACUUUGGGAUAAGCCUGGGAAACUGGGUCUAAUACCGAAUAGGACCAUGGCAUGCAUGUGCUGUGGUGGAAAGCUUUUGCGGUGUGGGAUGGGCCCGCGGCCUAUCAGCUUGUUGGUGGGGUUAAGGUCUACCAAGGCGACGACGGGUAGCCGGCCUGAGAGGGUGUCCGGCCACACUGGGACUGAGAUACGGCCCAGACUCCUACGGGAGGCAGCAGUGGGGAAUAUUGCACAAUGGGCGCAAGCCUGAUGCAGCGACGCCGCGUGGGGGAUGACGGCCUUCGGGUUGUAAACCCGUUUCAGUAGGGACGAAGCGCAAGUGACGGUACCUACAGAAGAAGCACCGGCCAACUACGCGCCAGCAGCCGC
Molecule: ribosomal RNA, 475 nt
Filed under: uncultured bacterium
Lineage: Bacteria
Description: SSU rRNA
Rfam family: Bacterial small subunit ribosomal RNA
Source: RNAcentral